AGAAGGACGCGGAGACUACGAGGAGGAAUGUUUCGGAGGCGCUGGAACCGGGGAGGUUCCCCGCGCUGGUUGUCAGCCGGCGUCCCAAGGUGUGGUGUCUCCGAGGUCCAGCACGGCGGCUUUUUGUUUACCUAGCCGUCCCCAGCUGCGACGUGGGGAGAAAAGUCUUCGCCUGGAUGUGAAUUUGGAAUGAGAGGCUGAAUAGUAUUUCCGGAGCUUGGCAAGAAACGAAGCAAUGAAGGUGAAAGCCCAGCUGGAUAAUCGUUCAGUGAGAAGGACAAGGAGGAAGGGAAUUGAGGGUGUUGAUGAGACAAGAUCAUGGGACACAGAUGAAAAGGAACGAGAAACAACCCUGAUGAGACCUCCCAUCUUGACUUCUAACAUCAUGGCUUAGUUUUGUCUGGUUUUCAACUUUACAUAAAUGGAAUCAAACAGGCAGACUGGAGUGCGAUCUCAGCCCACUGCAAGCUCUGCCUCCUGGGUUCAAGCAAUUCUCCUGCCUCAGCCUUCCAAGUAGCUGGGACUACAGGUGAACACCACCAAGCCCGGCUAGUUUUUUGUAUUUUUUAGUAGAGACGGGGUUUCACCGUGUUAGCCAGGAUGGUCUCGAUCUCCUGACCUCGUGAUCCGCCCGCCUCGGCCUCCCA
Molecule: long non-coding RNA, 647 nt
Filed under: Macaca mulatta (Rhesus monkey)
Lineage: Eukaryota; Metazoa; Chordata; Mammalia; Primates; Cercopithecidae
Description: lncRNA (ENSMMUG00000053756.1)
Source: RNAcentral